UACGGAAGGCAGCAGUGGGGAAUCUUGCGCAAUGGGCGAAAGCCUGACGCAGCCAUGCCGCGUGGAUGAUGAAGGUCUUAGGAUUGUAAAAUCCUUUCACCGGUGAAGAUAAUGACUGUAGCCGGAGAAGAAGCCCCGGCUAACUUCGUGCCAGCAGCCGCGGUAAUACGAAGGGGCUAGCGUUGCUCGGAAUUACUGGGCGUAAAGGGAGCGUAGGCGGACAUUUAAGUCAGGGGUGAAAUCCCCAGAGCUCAACUCUGGAACUGCCUUUUGAUACUGGGUGUCUUGAGUGUGAUAGAGGUAUGUGGAACUCCGAGUGUAGAGGUGAAAUUCGUAGAUAUUCGGAAGAACACCAGUGGCGAAGGCGACAUACUGGAUCAUUACUGACGCUGAGGCUCGAAAGCGUGGGGAGCAAACAGGGAUUAGAUACC
Molecule: ribosomal RNA, 431 nt
Filed under: uncultured bacterium
Lineage: Bacteria
Description: bacterial SSU rRNA
Rfam family: Bacterial small subunit ribosomal RNA
Source: RNAcentral